This is an RNA transcript of Penaeus indicus, 3041 nucleotides long. RefSeq lists it as uncharacterized. NCBI's taxonomy places the organism in Eukaryota, Metazoa, Arthropoda, Malacostraca, Decapoda, Penaeidae. The record is from RefSeq and is a predicted model, not a curated record. The transcript has 5 exons.
ACGACUGACUGAAACAUUCAAAUCAACAAUCACUGAGAAAGCCUCUUGUGAUGACUUUAUUUCUGCCAUGAAGAACAACAAACUUCCAUGCAAUCUGAAUCUGAGUCAACAGAAGCCAUCAAACUGCGCGAAGAAAUCUUGCCCAUCACUCGAAGAGGAAGCUUCGUUCAGGAUUCCUUCUUCCUCGAUGUCCACCAAGAGUUUUACACUGCCAUCAGAGAGGUCCUGAAGAAGUGGGUUAGCGCAGACAGUGAGGACUUCCUUAGUCUAAGUCACAGCGAUAUUCUGGUCCGCUACAGACAGCUUCGAUCCCGUGAAUUGAGGGAAGAAACUCAAGUCUCUAUCGUCACGUCCGACAACACUAGUUACAAGAUCGUGUUGGACGUCCAAGACUUCAUGAAUAGGGAUCUGAAGGUGAAGGUGGUGGGCGAGACGAAGGUGGUGGUAGAAGGACGUGUGGCGAAGAGAGAAGGAAGCUCAUCCGUGUCCUCAUGCUCCUUCCGACGCUGCUUCUCCUUGCCAGAGUAUAUUGACAUGACAAGCAUCACGUGCAUCAUGUCUUCUGACGGCAUACUCACAAUCAUCGCUUCGAAAAUGACAGAAGAAUCGGAAGAAGACAAAGUGGUCAGCUCCAUUGAGGAAGUUCAAGAAUCCUCUGAAGUUCAACGCUCGGUAUCCCCAACUAAUGAAACAAUCUCCCUCCAUGAGGAAUGUGAAAAGGCAAGCAAAGCCACAUAUGACUGCAUGGAUUCUAUGGCAGAAGAUACCAGCAUUGAGUUCGAAGAUGUAAAGACUCCACUCUCUGAAGAAAUGUGUCACUCAGUGAAAUCUGAGACAGCCCAACAGUUCCUUCUGUCGACUGAUUCUGCAGCAACAUCGAGUCAUGAUACUGAUUUCGGCAUUGUAGAAACUCAAAAUCAGAGCAAAGACACUAUUGGCACACUAGAAUCUAUUGUAACUGAAGAAGCGAUGGCUGAUGAUUCAGCUUCUGUGUCUUACUCUGAGUCUGCAGAAAUUACAGAAGCUUCCCUAUGUCGCCGAAGUUCGAUUGGCUUGAAUGAAACGUUUGGUGAUAAUUCUGAAUCACGUGACUUUGGAACUUCCCAGGAUUCUCUUCCUUCUGUCAUUCCCGAAGAAGAAAACGAAUCUGAAACUGUUGGAGUCCUUCAUCUUGAUGACUCCCAACAGGCAAUUGAAAUUCUUGACCUGCAUGACUCACAAGAAUCUGUUAGCAUUCUUGAUGCAAAGGAUUCAGAAGCUGUUGAAAUACUUGAUCUGAAAGACUCACAGGAAUCUGCUGACAUUCUUCAAGUGAAAGGUUCAGAAGCCGUUGAAAUUCUUGAUUUGACAGACUCACAAGAAUCUGUUGACAUUCUUGAUACAAAAGGCUCAGCUGCUGAAAAUCUUGACCUGAAAAGCUCACACGAAUCUGAUGACAUUCUUGAUGUACAAGACCUACAGGAGUCUGCUGACAUUGUUGAGGUGAAAGGUACAGCUGUUGAAAUUCUUGGUCUGACAGACUCACAACAAUCUGUUGACAUUCGUGAUGUGAAAGACUCACAUGAAUCUAUUGACAUUCUUGAAGUGAAAGGCUCAGAAUUUGUAGAAAUUCCUGACCUUAAAGAUUCCCAAGAAUCUACGGAAAUAUUGCAUCAAAAGGAUUCAGAGGAAGCUGCUGAAAUUAUAGAUCUGAAGGAUUCAGAAGCUGUUGAAAUUCUUGAUCUUAAAGAUUCCCAGGAAUCUGUUGGCAUUCUUGAUGUGAAAGAUUCACAGGAAGCUGUUGCUGAGGCUCAGAAUACGUUCAAAACUCAGAACUCAAAGUCUUCAACCAUUUUGGACGAUGUCACUGAGGAUGCCGUACCUGUGCAAGAAAGGUCCAAACCAGUUUCUGAGGAAACGCUCGACAGUAAAAUGAAUCAGUUGGCAGCAACUGAGAGUUGCACAGAUUCCCUUCAGUCAUCUGGAGAUUCUUGUACCUAUGAAAAGGAAGUCAUCGAUACUCUUGGGCAGCUGAAACUUAAAGAGAUGACUGAAACCGUACGUACAGAAGAGUCUACAGAAACUGGUGAAUCCUUGAAAGGAAUGAGAAGCGUUCACAGAGAUUCGCCAGAAGAGCUGUUGCUCAUCACCAAAAGAGGAAACUUCUUCCAAGACUCAUUCUUCCUUGACACUCAGCGAGACUUCAGUGCCGCUCUCAGGCAGGUGUUGGGCAGGUGCAAUGAAGAAAACUUUGAGAACGACAUUAACCUCUGUUACACCGAUAUCCUGGAACGCUACAGACAUCUUCGAUCUCGCGAUCUGAAGGAAGAGAAUCAGGCUGUUAUCGUUACAUCAGACAAGUCUUGUCUAAAGAUAAUUAUGGACGUUUAUGAGUUCAUGAGUGGAGAUAUACAAGCGAAAGGUUGUUGAUGAGAAAGAGUUAGUCAUUGAGGGACGUGUGGUGAAGAGCGAAGGAACCUCAUCCGAGACCUCUCACUCCUUCAGACGCCGCUUCUCUCUUCCGCAAUAUACUGAUAUCACUUCUGUUAUGUCGUUAGAUGGCAUCCUCACAGUUACUGUGAUCUUUAAGGAAGGAAAUGUCGAGCUAAAUACAGCUAAAAAGACUGAAGCAAAAUGCAACAUAACAAAAGAAAUUAUUGACUCAAAAUCACCUUCCCUUUCUGCUGAAAAGCAUGUGCUUGAGGCGAAGGCUGAAAAUCGUGAUAGAUUGAACAAGAAUGUGACAUUACAGUCACAGGAAACUCGUAAUUUCACGUCGGGGACAGAGAGGUCCAAACUUGAUUCCAACUUCGAGGACAAUAGACUGAGACGCUAUGGACGAGGCUAUAACAGGGAGUCUGAAGAAACCAACAGAUAUAACGUCACCGAAGACACAAGUAUGGGAACGUCCUCUCGUUUCUCGAGUGUUUCUCAGUGUAGCUCCGCAUUGAAGUCUUUUCCAGUGACGAGGAAAGGGACUGUUCUUCUCCGAUUACUUUUUCCGAGACACAAGGGAGGAUUUCCAGAAAGCCGUAAGGGAAAUCCUGAACAAAUGGGGAGAG